UCCCUAGCGGUCCAGUGGCUAAGACUCCACGCUCCCAAUGCGGGGGUUCCAGGUUCGAUCCCUGGUCAGGGAA
This is a non-coding RNA of Bos taurus (domestic cattle), 73 nucleotides long. NCBI's taxonomy places the organism in Eukaryota, Metazoa, Chordata, Mammalia, Artiodactyla, Bovidae. The record is from Rfam.